AAGCAUCUUCGGAUGUGUAUAAAGUGGCGAACGGCUGAGUAACACGUGGGCAACCUGCCCUUUGCACUGGGAUAGCCUCGGGAAACCGAGGUUAAUACCGGAUACUCCAUAUUUGUCGCAUGGCGAAUAUGGGAAAGCUCCGGCGGCAAAGGAUGGGCCCGCGGCCUGUUAGCUAGUUGGUGGGGUAGUGGCCUACCAAGGCAAUGAUGGGUAGCCGGGUUGAGAGACCGACCGGCCAGAUUGGGACUGAGACACGGCCCAGACUCCUACGGGAGGCAGCAGUGGGGAAUCUUGCACAAUGGGCGAAAGCCUGAUGCAGCGACGCCGCGUGCGGGAUGAAGGCCUUCGGGUUGUAAACCGCCUUCAGCAGGGACGAGGCCGCAAGGUGACGGUACC
Molecule: ribosomal RNA, 396 nt
Filed under: uncultured Atopobium sp.
Lineage: Bacteria; Bacillati; Actinomycetota; Coriobacteriia; Coriobacteriales; Atopobiaceae
Description: bacterial SSU rRNA
Rfam family: Bacterial small subunit ribosomal RNA
Source: RNAcentral